CCUACGGGAGGCAGCAGUGGGGGAUAUUGCACAAUGGGGGAAACCCUGAUGCAGCGACGCCGCGUGUGGGAAGACGGUCCUCUGGAUUGUAAACCACUGUCCCCAGGGACGAAGAUGACGGUACCUGGGGAUGAAGCUCCGGCUACCUACGUGCCAGCAGCCGCGGCAAUACGUAGGGAGCGAGCGUUGUCCGGAGUUACUGGGUGUACAGGGAGCGUAGGCGGGACUGCAAGUUGGGUGUCAAAUCUACCGGCUCAACCGGUAGCCGCACUCAAAACUGCAGUUCUUGAGUGAAGUAGAGGCAGGCGGAAUUCCAAGUGUAGCGGUGAAAUGCGUAGAUAUUAGGAGGAACACCAGUGGCGAAGGCGGCCUGCUGGGCUUUGACUGACGCUGAGGCUCGAAAGUGUGGGGAGCAAACAGGAUUAGAUACCCUUGUAGUC
This 440-nucleotide ribosomal RNA is filed under the name uncultured bacterium. Its description in RNAcentral is "partial 16S ribosomal RNA". It matches the Rfam family "Bacterial small subunit ribosomal RNA", at positions 338 to 795 of the family's 1533-position model. The record is from RNAcentral.